Molecule: long non-coding RNA, 138 nt
Organism: Etheostoma cragini (Arkansas darter)
Lineage: Eukaryota; Metazoa; Chordata; Actinopteri; Perciformes; Percidae
Exons: 3
Source: RefSeq, a predicted model, not a curated record
UUACAGUACUUGAUUGUUUGUACAUAAAAUUAACAAGUUAGGGCACAUCACCUUUUGUGUUUAAUAAACCUAAAUAUACAUUAAGUAACAUGAUCAUUCUAUGUUAACAUAGAAUUAUAUGUUAAGAAAGCUAUAAUU